This 439-nucleotide ribosomal RNA is filed under the name uncultured bacterium. RNAcentral's name for it is "partial 16S ribosomal RNA". It matches the Rfam family "Bacterial small subunit ribosomal RNA", at positions 339 to 795 of the family's 1533-position model. The record is from RNAcentral.
CUACGGGCCGCUGCAGUGGGGAAUUUUGCGCAAUGGGCGAAAGCCUGACGCAGCGAUACCGCGUGAGUGAAGAAGGCCUUUGGGUCGUAAAGCUCUUUUUUUAGGGAAGAUAAUGACGGUACCUAAAGAAUAAGCACCGGCUAACUCCGUGCCAGCAGCCGCGGUAAUACGGAGGGUGUGAGCGUUGUUCGGAUUUACUGGGCGUAAAGGGCACGUAGGCGGCAUAGUAAGCUAAGGGUGAAAUCCCAGAGCUCAACUUUGGAACAGCUCUUAGAACUGCUAAGCUAGAGAUAGUUAGAGGCGGGUGGAAUUCCUGGUGUAGAGGUGAAAUUCGUAGAUAUCAGGAGGAACACCGGAGGCGAAGGCGGCCCGCUGGGGCUAUUCUGACGCUGAUGUGCGAAAGCGUGGGGAGCGAACGGGAUUAGAUACCCUGGUAGUC